UGAGUAGAAGCAGAUGGUGUGUGCUGUUCUCAUGGGGAAAAGACAGAGUGCUGAGGUGGAAUACCCAGAGUCAACUGACAGGCCCUCUGCCAUUGCUGCUGCCAUGGUCCCCACCCCUGCUGCCUCCAAGCUGAGGAGGGAAGAAAAAACUUCACCACACUCCAGGGUGGCAGUGCACAGCUUGGGAGUGGUGAACGGAGAUCUGUGACCAGCACUCUGAAAGGAGAGGAGUUUACACUCCCAGAGCACUGAGAGGGAGCACAGCUACAAACGCCAGGAAACACAAAGAAGCCAGUGGCUUAGUAAGAGCCUACCUACUGCCAGUACUCUUAAGAACCAUCUACUGCAUCUCAGCCCAAUGUAAAACACCAAAACUACUAAGCUAAUAUACCCCCCUAUGGAACCAAGGGCAGUAAUUCAGUCACAAAAAAAGAAAGACUCUACACAGAGCAUUGGCUUUCUGAAACCAUCUACAAACAAAGCUAACUGACUAUAUUCAACUUAUAACCACAAUUAAAAGAACAUCAACCCUUCCAGAUGAGAAAUAAUUAGCACAAGAACCCUGGCAAUUCAAAAACCGAAGUGUCUAUGUACCUCCAAGGGAGUCCACUAGUCUCCAACAAUGAAUCUUAAGUUGGAAAUAAUAGAUAUAGAAUUCAGAAUCUUUAUGGCAAGGAAGUGCAUUGAGUUGCAAGAGAAAGUUGAAACUCAAUCCAAGGAAUCCAGUAAGAUGAUCCAAGAGCUGAAAUACAAUAUAGCUAUUUUUAGAAAUAACCAAACUAAACUUUUAGAGCUGAAAAACUCACUACAAGAAUUUCAUACUUCUAUGUAAAGUAUUAACAGCAGAAUAGACCAUGCUGAGCAUAGAAUUUCAGAACAUG
Molecule: long non-coding RNA, 881 nt
Filed under: Homo sapiens (human)
Lineage: Eukaryota; Metazoa; Chordata; Mammalia; Primates; Hominidae
Description: HSALNT0287945
Source: RNAcentral